AUACGGAGGGUGCGAGCGUUAAUCGGAAUUACUGGGCGUAAAGCGCGCGUAGGCGGUUUGUUAAGUCGGAUGUGAAAUCCCCGGGCUCAACCUGGGACCUGCAUCCGAUACUGGCAGGCUAGAGUCUGGUAGAGGGGGGUAGAAUUCCUGGUGUAGCGGUGAAAUGCGUAGAUAUCAGGAGGAAUACCAGUGGCGAAGGCGGCCCCCUGGACUGAGACUGACGCUGACGUGCGAAAGCGUGGGUAGCAAACAGGAUUAGAAACCCUAGUAGUCCC
This 275-nucleotide ribosomal RNA is filed under the name uncultured bacterium. RNAcentral describes it as "partial 16S ribosomal RNA". It matches the Rfam family "Bacterial small subunit ribosomal RNA", at positions 523 to 797 of the family's 1533-position model. The record is from RNAcentral.